GAAGGGGGCUAGCGUUGCUCGGAAUCACUGGGCGUAAAGCGCACGUAGGCGGAUUUCUAAGUCAGGGGUGAAAUCCUGGAGCUCAACUCCAGAACUGCCUUUGAUACUGGGAAUCUCGAGUCCGGGAGAGGUGAGUGGAACUGCGAGUGUAGAGGUGAAAUUCGUAGAUAUUCGCAGGAACACCAGCGGCGAAGGCGGGCUACUGGGCUGAUACUGACGCUGAUGCGCGAAAGCCAGGGGAGCGAACGGG
RNAcentral lists this ribosomal RNA (250 nucleotides) under uncultured bacterium. RNAcentral's name for it is "partial 16S ribosomal RNA". It matches the Rfam family "Bacterial small subunit ribosomal RNA", at positions 527 to 776 of the family's 1533-position model. The record is from RNAcentral.